Molecule: ribosomal RNA, 402 nt
Filed under: uncultured Ehrlichia sp.
Lineage: Bacteria; Pseudomonadati; Pseudomonadota; Alphaproteobacteria; Rickettsiales; Anaplasmataceae
Description: bacterial SSU rRNA
Rfam family: Bacterial small subunit ribosomal RNA
Source: RNAcentral
UAUAACCUUUUGGUUAUAAAUAAUUGUUAGUGGCAGACGGGUGAGUAAUGCGUAGGAAUCUACCUAGUAGUAUGGAAUAGCCAUUAGAAAUGAUGGGUAAUACUGUAUAAUCCCUGCGGGGGAAAGAUUUAUCGCUAUUAGAUGAGCCUACGUUAGAUUAGCUAGUUGGUAAGGUAAUGGCUUACCAAGGCUAUGAUCUAUAGCUGGUCUGAGAGGACGAUCAGCCACACUGGAACUGAGAUACGGUCCAGACUCCUACGGGAGGCAGCAGUGGGGAAUAUUGGACAAUGGGCGAAAGCCUGAUCCAGCUAUGCCGCGUGAGUGAAGAAGGCCUUCGGGUUGUAAAACUCUUUCAAUAGGGAAGAUAAUGACGGUACCUAUAGAAGAAGUCCCGGCAAAGUC